UAGGGAAUCUUCCACAAUGGACGCAAGUCUGAUGGAGCAACGCCGCGUGAGUGAAGAAGGUCUUCGGAUCGUAAAGCUCUGUUGUUGGUGAAGAAGGAUAGAGGCAGUAACUGGUCUUUAUUUGACGGUAAUCAACCAGAAAGUCACGGCUAACUACGUGCCAGCAGCCGCGGUAAUACGUAGGUGGCAAGCGUUGUCCGGAUUUAUUGGGCGUAAAGCGAGCGCAGGCGGAAUGAUAAGUCUGAUGUGAAAGCCCACGGCUCAACCGUGGAACUGCAUCGGAAACUGUCAUUCUUGAGUGCAGAAGAGGAGAGUGGAACUCCAUGUGUAGCGGUGGAAUGCGUAGAUAUAUGGAAGAACACCAGUGGCGAAGGCGGCUCUCUGGUCUGCAACUGACGCUGAGGCUCGAAAGCAUGGGUAGCGAACAGGAUUAGAUACCCUGGUAGUCCAUGCCGUAAACGAUGAGCGCUAGGUGUUGGGGACUUUCCGGUCCUCAGUGCCGCAGCAAACGCAUUAAGCGCUCCGCCUGGGGAGUACGACCGCAAGGUUGA
Molecule: ribosomal RNA, 551 nt
Filed under: uncultured bacterium
Lineage: Bacteria
Description: partial 16S ribosomal RNA
Rfam family: Bacterial small subunit ribosomal RNA
Source: RNAcentral